RNAcentral lists this long non-coding RNA (697 nucleotides) under Mus caroli (Ryukyu mouse). RNAcentral's name for it is "lncRNA (MGP_CAROLIEiJ_G0004523.1)". The record is from RNAcentral. Lineage: Eukaryota; Metazoa; Chordata; Mammalia; Rodentia; Muridae.
CAGCAGGAGCAGAGGAAGCCAAGCACUUCAUCUAAUUUAAUUUUCUCUUGCCUUUUUAAUAUAUGUUACAUCAUAAAGUUGGAUGUAUCAGCUUAAAUAACAGUUGCAGGGCUGCUGGUGAAUGAUGUGGAAAGAAAUUUUAAAAGGAAGGGCCAGCUAGAAUCCUGUCAUCCCAUGUGGAGAUGUUGAUGUAGAUCAGACAGACUUCCUUCCUGUUGGGGAUAAUGGCUUCCAAUCCAGAAUUUAGGCGGAGAAAGAGGAGCUGAGAGAGGCACACCAGCUUUUUAACUUCCUGGACUUUAACAGGCACACAUAGCUUCUAUUAUAGAUCACUGGCUUCCCCCACCCAAAAGGAGGCUCAGGAAAGAAGGGGUUAUGACAUCAUCGCUUGUUCAUUAGCCAUCUCAGACCACUGACAACUCCCCAAGUAACCCCCGCUGCAGUCAGACUCUGCUCCUUUGCCCCUUUGGCUCCCACCUGGAAUGUUCCAUUCUCUGCUUUGCCUUCAAGGACUGAGACUCGAAUCUCCUUACUUGAACCGUCUCCUCCUCUCAGAAAGCACAACAUUUUGCUUGCGUGGUGCAGAGGAGUGAUCAUUGUGUGUUCAUCUCUGCCGGAAAACUGUGGUCUCUGAGAGGGCACAUACCACAUACACUAGAUUUGCUUUUAAGGAAAGAAACAUUUAAAGAUCUGAAAA